UUUGUCUAAAAUCUCCUUCCACCACGUGGCUGUGCUGGAGUCUCUCUGAAUCUGCUGUGAUUCUGGGAGCUGCCUUAUUCGCGAAUCGUUCUUUGCUCAAUUAUACUCCUUUAAAUUUAAUUUGGUUGAAGUUUUUCUUUUAUCAUAGGUAAAAAAAAAAAACUCUCACAAAUCCACUAAUGACAUAGAUUUUAUGCUAUAAGCUGUUUUGAAAAUGUGGAUAUGAGUUUUUGAUUGCUUGGUUUGCUAUUUAAAAAGUUGAAAUGUCUUGCCAUAUGCAACGCUUUGAUUUAGAAUCUUGCACCGAUGAGAAAAAGAAUUUGACUGACCCAACUCGACCUCAUCAUCCAGGAAUCUCCUGGUUGCAUCUUGGUCACAGGUCACCUGUGGAAUGAUAAAUUCUAUAUGAAGAUCUGAUUAGAGAUUUGCUGAUGUGAAGGACAUACCAAGAAAAUUCACUCCUUGUCCCUUCCUUAGAAAAAUCCUCAUCCUUCCUAGAAAAAUGCCUGAGCAUCUCAGUCAGGCCUGCAUUCGCAUUGUGGUCCCUUCUUCUUGGCCGUAGGCAUUGCUUCAGGGAUGGAUUGGUGACCAAAAUGAAUACAGGGGGAAUUCUAGACCUUUUCUGUAAAGUUUGAAAACAAAAUAUUCUCUUUUCUCUCCACAGGCAGCUCGAGGGAUAUCUCUAGGAGACUCAACAGCCACCUGCUCACCACAGUGGGAGGGAGUCAGGGUAAGAAUGAUCAGCCCAGAGGCAGGGGAGCUGAUGGUGGUCUCAGUUCUGGAGUUCUGGAUCCAGGACCACUCCUGUCUAUGAGAUGGCUCUUGUGCCUCCUCGAAGACCAACAUGGUAGCUUGGACGUUGAGUCAAAUCAGACCCUUCACAGUUCUUGAAAGUUGUUGGGAAAGAGAAGAUGAAAUGCAGACAGAGACGUGACUCUGGAAGAGAAAAGAUGUUCUUGGCGCAGUAAUGAUCUGCCAAUAGCCCUCUUUUCUUAGAGCCCAUGCCUUCCCAACUUCUUCAUCUGAUCUGCUGCUCAUCCAAGGAGUACUCUUCUAAUUUUUAAGUGACUCAAUGUCAAGUCGUGGUUGCUAGGAGCCUCCUCAGACGGUGAGUCCCAGGUUCCCUCACUUGACUUCUGCUUUAUUGCUAAGAUCAAUCACCUCCCUCAGACGUAUUUUGCAAAUAAUUAAGCCCAACCGUUUUUUCCUGGUGGCAAUAACUCUCCAGCCAAUUUUUGCUUUAAUCCCUCUAAUUCUAGGAUUCUCUCUUGUUCUUACCAGCAUCGUCACCUAACAGCAGCAGAAGACUGGGUUGUGGUCCUAAACUGCAGCCCUGAUCACUGCUUGGCAUAGAUGUUCUGGGAGGCCCAGUAUCUGCCCAGCUACCUUGCCAGACAUUUCUAGCUCUAGGAGUGAGUAUUUCUGUACUCUGCUUUCCUUCCUAUCAGUCCACCCCGGGAACCUUUUAUUAAGUAUUUCUCAUUGUACUUUCAUGCUCAACCUGAAAACAGUUCCUCAUCACCUGUACCUGCCCUUUCCCCACUCUCUGUCCUAACCUACCCAGGACCUUCCCAGUCACCUUCUCUAUGGUAAAAUGGUUACAAACUCUUGGAUGUUAUAUGACACUCAGAACGUUAGUUUUUUUUAUUUCAAGGUGUGUUAAUAUACUGGCAGUAGUGACAGAUGUCACAUUAGAAGAAUGAUGUUCACACUAAAAUUUUUAUACUUGUUUAAAUUUUUAAGAUGUAAUUUUCUAAAGAGCAGCUUUAGAUUUCCAGUCAAACUGAUCAAAAGGCACAAAGAAUUCCCAUCUACUCCCUGCCCCACUCAUGCACAGCCCCACUGAUGCACACCCAUUAUCAACAUUCCUCAGCAGAGGGGUGCAUUUGUUCGAAUCAGUGAACCUCCAUUGACACAUCGUUGUCAGCAAAGUCCAUAGAUCACAUGAGGGCUCACUCUUGGUGUUGUGCAUUCUGUGGGUUUGGACAAUUGUAUAAUGACAUCGAUCCAUCAUUAUAGCAUCAUACAGAAAAGUUUCACUGCCCUAAAUAUCCUCUGUGCUCCGACUAGUCAUCCCUCCCUUUCCCUAAACUCCUUUGCAUCCACUCCUUUUUCUGUUUUGAUAGUUUUUCCUUGUCUGGAACGUCAUGUAGUUGAAAUCGUAAAGUAUGUAGGCUUUCCAAAUUGGCUUCUUUCACUUAGGAAUAUGCAUUUAGGUUUCUUCCAUGUCCAUUCAUGGCUUGAUCACUCAUUCCAGCCUUCAUUCAUUACCUAAUUCCAAAGCCAUUUCCACAUUUGUAGGUGUUUGUUACAGUAGCACCCCACUUCCUGUUUUUCUUUUGAAACAGGAUCUCAGUCUGUCAGUCUCAGACUGGAGUGCAGUGCAGCAUCAUG
RNAcentral lists this long non-coding RNA (2394 nucleotides) under Homo sapiens (human). Its description in RNAcentral is "HSALNT0344695". The record is from RNAcentral. Lineage: Eukaryota; Metazoa; Chordata; Mammalia; Primates; Hominidae.